Molecule: ribosomal RNA, 253 nt
Filed under: uncultured bacterium
Lineage: Bacteria
Description: partial 16S ribosomal RNA
Rfam family: Bacterial small subunit ribosomal RNA
Source: RNAcentral
UACGUAGGGAGCAAGCGUUGUCCGGAAUCAUUGGGCGUAAAGCGCGCGUAGGUGGCCUCAUAAGUCCGUUGUGAAAGUCAAAGGCUCAACCUUUGAAAGCCGAUGGAUACUGUGAGACUAGAGUACGGAAGAGGCGAGUGGAAUUCCUGGUGUAGCGGUGGAAUGCGCAGAUAUCAGGAGGAACACCCAUAGCGAAGGCAGCUUGCUGGGACGUUACUGACGCUAAGGCGCGAAAGCGUGGGGAGCGAACAGG